AGUCGAACGGACUUUUCAUGAAGCCUAGCGAUUGAAAAGUUAGUGGCGGACGGGUGAGUAACGCGUGGGUAACCUGCCUUGUACUGGGGGACAACAGUUGGAAACGACUGCUAAUACCGCAUAAGCGCACAGCUUCGCAUGAAGCGGUGUGAAAAACUCCGGUGGUACAAGAUGGACCCGCGUCUGAUUAGCUGGUUGGUGAGGUAACGGCCCACCAAGGCGACGAUCAGUAGCCGGCCUGAGAGGGUGAACGGCCACAUUGGGACUGAGACACGGCCCAAACUCCUACGGGAGGCAGCAGUGGGGAAUAUUGCACAAUGGGGGAAACCCUGAUGCAGCAACGCCGCGUGAGUGAAGAAGUAUUUCGGUAUGUAAAGCUCUAUCAGCAGGAAAGAAAAUGACGGUACCUGACUAAGAAGCCCCGGCUAACUACGUGCCAGCAGCCGCGGUAAUACGUAGGGGGCAAGCGUUAUCCGGAUUUACUGGGUGUAAAGGGAGCGUAGACGGUUUUGCAAGUCUGAAGUGAAAGCCCGGGGCUUAACCCCGGGACUGCUUUGGAAACUGUAGAACUAGAGUGCAGGAGAGGUAAGUGGAAUUCCUAGUGUAGCGGUGAAAUGCGUAGAUAUUAGGAGGAACACCAGUGGCGAAGGCGGCUUACUGGACUGUAACUGACGUUGAGGCUCGAAAGCGUGGGGAGCAAACAGGAUUAGAUACCCUGGUAGUCCACGCCGUAAACGAUGAUUACUAGGUGUUGGUGGGUACGACCCAUCGGUGCCGCGGCAAACGCAAUAAGUAAUCCACCUGGGGAGUACGUUCGCAAGAAUGA
RNAcentral lists this ribosomal RNA (826 nucleotides) under uncultured bacterium. RNAcentral describes it as "bacterial SSU rRNA". It matches the Rfam family "Bacterial small subunit ribosomal RNA", at positions 60 to 897 of the family's 1533-position model. The record is from RNAcentral.